RNAcentral lists this ribosomal RNA (315 nucleotides) under uncultured bacterium. RNAcentral describes it as "bacterial SSU rRNA". It matches the Rfam family "Bacterial small subunit ribosomal RNA", at positions 28 to 334 of the family's 1533-position model. The record is from RNAcentral.
GAUGAACGCUAGCUACAGGCUUAACACAUGCAAGUCGAGGGGCAGCAUGGUCUUAGCUUGCUAAGGCCGAUGGCGACCGGCGCACGGGUGAGUAACACGUAUCCAACCUGCCGUCUACUCUUGGACAGCCUUCUGAAAGGAAGAUUAAUACAAGAUGGCAUCAUGAGUUCACAUGUUCACAUGAUUAAAGAUUUAUCGGUGUACGAUGGGGAUGCGUUCCAUUAGGUAGUAGGCGGGGUAACGGCCCACCUAGCCAACGAUGGAUAGGGGUUCUGAGAGGAAGGUCCCCCACAUUGGAACUGAGACACGGUCCAA